ACCUCUGUGGUGCAAUGGGUCAGUGUGUGUCUGGCUAUUAACCAGAAAGUUGGUGGUUUGAGCCCACCAAGGGAUG
Podarcis lilfordi (Lilford's wall lizard) is the source of this 76-nucleotide non-coding RNA. Lineage: Eukaryota; Metazoa; Chordata; Lepidosauria; Squamata; Lacertidae. The record is from the annotation of a GenBank genome assembly.